GUUUGAAGCUGCUACGGGGUCGUUUUGCUCGUAAGGGCGUGAGUGGGAAUUGGUGACCUCCAGUUAGGGCAAGAUAAGGGUUUCCAGCAGAUCGACCUCGUAGCAGCUGUAAAC
RNAcentral lists this microRNA precursor (114 nucleotides) under Physcomitrium patens. RNAcentral's name for it is "Physcomitrella patens miR11319 stem-loop (ppt-MIR11319)". Lineage: Eukaryota; Viridiplantae; Streptophyta; Bryopsida; Funariales; Funariaceae. The record is from miRBase by way of RNAcentral.